AGCCAAGUGUUCCCUCAUCUAUUGGCCUAACUUGAUAAAUGUGCGUUGAAUUUAGAUGCAAUUUUCAAAUCAUUAAAUGUGUUUCUCUAGCAGCUGGAGAGUUUAUGAGGGAUGGUGCCUUUGCUUGCUCUGAAGACAUGGUCGGUGAAAUGAAAACUUGUUCUGAAGCCCGGCCAAGUGUUGAAAACCAGUCUUCUACUUUAUCUGAUUCUGAAAUGGGCUUACCAGCUCGUGUCACUUCUAUUGUUUGUGCUGCUCAUAAUGGAUUUCAGGAUUCUGCAAAUUAUGGAGACUGUUAUUUCCAACCAUUCUGCACCUACUACUGGCUACAAGGUAAAGAGAAUUUGGGAGGAAUCUAUAUACUUAACUUUCACAUUUGAAUCACAUUAAUGGAUCUUAAAACUGAGUUCACUAAAGUAGCUCUAUUUAUCUUGAUUUGUAGUUCUCGUAGUGAAUAGAUCUAUCCUUUAUUAUUUUUCGUAGGAUUUGAACAGCAUGUAUCUAAAUAUGUGACUGAUGACAUUUUAAAUGAGCUUAAUGAGUGUCCAAAUUAUUUGAAUUAAGUCAUUAUUUAAUUAGUUCCGCAUAUUGUACCAAUCAGCAGUUAUGAGCACUUUAGCUUUGUGUUAGGACUUAAACAUGAUCAGAGAGUUUUAUGGGUUAAGAAUUAUGAUUUUGUUAUUAUAUUCACUAAUUUCUAACAUUGUCGUCCUCUUAAGAGUCACGUUUAUGAUAAUUUUUAUUCUAUUGAACCUAAUGAUAAUUUUUUCUCUAAUCAUUUGGGUUGAACUUUUCUCAGAUAUAUAAGUCGUAACAUUUGAUACCAAGUCAAAAAGAAUAUUGCAUUUUCCAUUAACAUUUUUUUCUUCUAAAUAAAUUAAUCAAACAAACAGGUAGUUGAUUAAGGGUGAUUCAUAUAUAAAGACUUGAACUUGAGUUUUGCAUACAGAGAAAAUUGCCACGGGAAUAGCUUACCCUACUAUGUUGUUGAAUGUCCCUACCAGCAGAAUUGUGUCAUAUAAAAAACACUAAUUACCAGACUAGAAAACAAAAAAAUAUAUAUAAUAUUUAAGUUUAUAAAAUAAUUUAAUUCUUUAUAUGGAAUAGAAAUUUUGUUUAAUAAGUGCUCUAAAGUUUGUAUUUUAAAAUGAUUUAAUUAUUUACAUGGAAUAUAAAUUUUGUUCAUUAACAGCUCUAUAAAUGAGAACUUAUUACUCUAUCUGAAGUUUCAUAUUCUGCCACAAGACCCAUACUAUCAUGCCUUCUCUAUUUGGAUGAUGUAGGCAUCCACUUCUCCCUGUACUGUAGAAAAAGGCUAAAAAAAUGAGAAAUAAAAUGUUUGGUUAUAUAGAAAAUGAAGAGAAAUAAUUGAUUUUUUCUUCCUCCACUCUCGACAAUGGUCUAUUGUUCCAAAUUGUGUUUUAAACCAUAUACUAAAUCAAUGAAAAUAUAUAUGUUAAUUAAAAAAAUUAAAUAUUUAUUUUUUACUUUAAUAUGAUUGGAUAAUAUAAUUUAUGAUACAGUUUGGACAAUAUAUCUUAUUCUAUUUUCCCUCCCAUUUUCUCUUUUAUGACAUGGGAGGAGAGAAAUUUUG
Molecule: long non-coding RNA, 1594 nt
Filed under: Lupinus mutabilis
Lineage: Eukaryota; Viridiplantae; Streptophyta; Magnoliopsida; Fabales; Fabaceae
Description: partial ncRNA
Source: RNAcentral